This 286-nucleotide ribosomal RNA is filed under the name Candidatus Bathyarchaeota archaeon. Its description in RNAcentral is "partial 16S ribosomal RNA". It matches the Rfam family "Archaeal small subunit ribosomal RNA", at positions 391 to 679 of the family's 1478-position model. The record is from RNAcentral. Lineage: Archaea; Thermoproteati; Candidatus Bathyarchaeota.
UCCGCUGAGGAUGGCUUUUUCCUGGUGUAAUGAGCCGGGAGAAUAAGGAGAGGGCAAGUCUGGUGUCAGCCGCCGCGGUAAUACCAGCUCUCCGAGUGGUAGGGAUGAUUAUUGGGCUUAAAGCGUCCGUAGCCGGCUUGGCAAGUCUCCUGUUAAAUUCAGCGACCUAAUCGUUGAGCCGCGGGAGACACUACUAGGCUAGGAGGCGGAAGAGGCCGACGGUACUCUCGGGGUAGGGGUGAAAUCCUAUAAUCCCGGGAGGACCACCAGUGGCGAAGGCUGUCGG